Molecule: microRNA, 22 nt
Filed under: Eisenia fetida (common brandling worm)
Lineage: Eukaryota; Metazoa; Annelida; Clitellata; Crassiclitellata; Lumbricidae
Description: Efe-Mir-1999-P1_3p (mature (guide))
Source: RNAcentral
UGUAGCCAGAGCUUGGGCCUGC